This 72-nucleotide transfer RNA is filed under the name Camelus bactrianus (Bactrian camel). It matches the Rfam family "tRNA". Rfam says of the family: Transfer RNA (tRNA) molecules are approximately 80 nucleotides in length. Lineage: Eukaryota; Metazoa; Chordata; Mammalia; Artiodactyla; Camelidae. The record is from Rfam by way of RNAcentral. RNAcentral also lists the same sequence under 1 other name.
GAGCAUAUAGCUCAGUGGUGGAGCAUGUGCUUAAUAUACACAUGGUCCCAGGUUCAAUCCCCAGUACCUCCA